Molecule: long non-coding RNA, 1374 nt
Filed under: Chrysolophus pictus (golden pheasant)
Lineage: Eukaryota; Metazoa; Chordata; Aves; Galliformes; Phasianidae
Description: lncRNA (ENSCPIG00010001775.1)
Source: RNAcentral
CCUUCCCCCCCACCAUCCCCAUCCCCAAACCCUCCCCAGGCGGACAUCGCCACCGCGGCCCCGGCAGCGGGAGAUGGAAGGCGGCGGGCAGCGAGCGGGGAGCGGUGCGCGGUACCGGGAGCGGUGCGCGGUAACGGAGAGCUGCGUACGGCAACGGGAGAAACCGUGCGCGGUAACGGGACGGCUAAGAACGAUAACGGAAGGGAACGGUGCACGGUUAUGGAGAGUUAAGCACGCGGAGCGCACCGAGGCCGGGAGAAACCGGGACGGAGCAGCGCGGGAGCAGCGCACGGCGGUCGGUAAUGGUGCGUGCACGGCCGCGGGGUGGAAAACGGGAGAGAAUUGUUUCGGCUAAAAAAUAUAUCUAUACAUAAUAAUAACAAUUGAAUAUAUAAAUAUUAAAGAUUAAAAAAUAUAUAUUUCCGAGCUCCGAGCCUCUGGUGCUCUCAGCACAGCGAUGGCUCUGAGCCCAGCGCCGCUCCGGUGAUGCCCCGUGCGGUGCCGCCCCGCUGCUCGCGUGCAGAUUCCGGCGGGACAAUCAAUGGUGCAAACCAGCGUGGGUUAAUUAAGGAGAUUUUAAUACCCCGCGCAUCCCGACCCGCGCCUUUGUCCGCACCCGGGACGGCACGGAGACAAAGGGCGGUGGGGGGGCGCGGGGCCGCGCUUUGUUGGGGCCGAACCGGGCCGGCCUCGAGCUCCCUCUGCGCCCGCGGGGAACAAAGGAGAGCCGGGAGCGGAGCGCCCGGCCCGGAUCGGAGCGUACAGUCUCCUUUGUCCGCGGCUCCGCCCGGCUCUGCUCGGCCCUGGAGCCAUGCGGGGCUCUGCUGCACCGCACCGCGGGCACCCAUGGGCUGCGUGCUGCCGUGCGGGGCUGUGCGCGGCAGCAGCCCCAAAAAUGGGGCCGGUGUUGGGGUGCAGCGAGGCAGCCGCGUUGGCACCCAGCUCUACUGGCACCUGCCCCCUUCCCAGAGCUUAAUUCCAGCGCAGCAUCCCCGCUGUGUCCCGCUCUGCUCGAGCCCGUUCGCAGCAGAAGAAGCCUGCUUUGUGGCUUUUGCCAUUUCUCCCCACACUCUCGCAUUCCCUCCGAGGGCUGCGCACGGGACUGGCGUCGCUGCACUGGGAGCGUGUGUGUGCAUAAGAUCUGUGAGCCGUGAAAUAACCACGGCGCUGCCCACCUCGCCCUGCUUGGCUCCGGCUGCACCCCCGGUGCCCUGCAGUGCCGUGCUCCAUGCACACGGCUGCCGCUGUGUCACCAGCCUGGGGACAUCACCUCCAAAGGGACCUGGUGCCGAGCCCCUGUGCGGGCUCCCCGUGGCUCUGCGGACUCCUCUGGCUCAGCACAAGCGGGCCCGGCCCAGCUCUGAGUUCUGCUAA